Molecule: transfer RNA, 72 nt
Organism: Ovis aries (sheep)
Lineage: Eukaryota; Metazoa; Chordata; Mammalia; Artiodactyla; Bovidae
Rfam family: tRNA
About the family: Transfer RNA (tRNA) molecules are approximately 80 nucleotides in length. Their secondary structure includes four short double-helical elements and three loops (D, anti-codon, and T loops).
Source: Rfam
UCCCUUGUAGCUCAGAUGGUAAAGAAUCUGCCUGCAACACAGGAGCCCCAGGUUCAAUUCCUGGGUUGGGAA